UCAGAAACUAACGGAUAGUUCAAAUCACCCAAACCACCAGAUUUCCGCUCCGUUUGGAUCCAUGCAAGGUGGGAAAACUGCACGAGUUUGAUAAGAGUAUAUUAUAUCAUAAAGAUGAUUUUAUAAUUUAUACAAGUGAAGAAAUAAGAGAGGGAGUCGAUAAGAAUUACCACACUGUCUACAGAUACACCCAAGACUUCUGUGUUCAACUUCUCAAAUUCUGAAUAUCGGUCACUGAAAGCAGUGAUCUCUGUGGGGAAAAAAAUAAUUAUUUAAGCAAAUCAUAAAUGGCACAAUCGAACAGCAUAUAGAUAGCCCAGUUCAAGACUCACCGGUGGGGCAAACAAAGGUGAAGUCCAGUGGGUAGAAGAAGAGAAUGACAUAUUUCUUUCCUAUGUACUCGGACAGUUUAACCUGUGGAUUAAGCAUAACUAUCAUCGAAAAAUAAUUCAUACAUGAUUUGCAAAGUAUUGGACACAGGGUACAGAAAAGAAAUUAUUCAAAGACGAAUAAAUAUCAAUAAUAUCAGAAUCUUGACAAUCGAACGAGUUAGAGAUUGUGAUCCACGGAUUCAUCAUCCGAUUAAAAUCAGUAGUAGCUUUGCCAGCAACUUUGUAUAAGAUAUAUACAUCUCUUCGAGACACGAAGUAAAUGCCAACCAAUCAAACUAAGGCUACAAUCCAAAGUGGCAAACUCAUACAACCACGUUCAUAAUGUCAUAAUCUCAAUAGAAGCUUUCUAACACCAUACUUUGUCGCAGUAAUUUUCAAGAUAAAGGGAAAACUAUAUGACUAAAUAGUUUCAAACGGCAUUCGCCGUAAGUUACCUUAAUAAAUUCCUGAUCGAAAACAGCUUCGGCCUCGAAAUUUGGAGCUACGUUUCCAACCAGCGGAAGUAUAUAUAUAUAUAUAUAUAUAUAUAUAUAUAUAUAUAUAUAUAUAUAUAUAUAUAUAUUGACAUAUGAAGACAGCCCAGGCAAAUGCAAAUUAAUAAUUUGAAUUAUUUGUAGCCACAGGUUAAAAUGUACACAACAAAUUAAAGCGAAUCUGAAAAUCUGACUUAUUUGAACUGCUAAAAUCAGUAAAUGAACAGUUCUGUGAGCUAAUGAAAUUUAACGCCGGCAAUUGUUCCUCAACCAAUUGUGAAUCGCGUUCGAAAAAUGAGUAGAAAGUACAGAUUCAGGAAAGGAUUGAAAAAAACCCCAAAUUAAACUAAUCGAACUUUGCAAAUUGUCAAAGAUUAAGAAAACCCACUCUAAAAAAUUGAAGGGAAACUAAAAAUUGAAAAAGGGGAAAAUUAAAAUGCUGUUAAAUUGGAAAUGAAGGAGGUGGGAGAGCGAAACUUACGGCACGGACGACAAAACAGCUGCGUGUUUUGGAGCGGGAGGAGAGGGAGCGGGCAACACGAGACACAAAGGGUUUGCCGGAGAAGGAGGAGGAAAGGGAAAUCGAUUGAGUAGACACUGAUGUUUUGGAAGCAACGCGAGCUUUUGGAUUCGAAGAUGCGAAAGCAGCCACCGAAGUAGCAGCUGAGCAAGCCAUUGUUCGUUCUCUCUCUCUCUCUCUCUUUCUCUCUCUAACUCAGUCUCUGUUGGUGUUGUAAAUUCGUCGAACAGUUUAUCUGUAUGGUUUGGCGUCUACCA
RNAcentral lists this long non-coding RNA (1642 nucleotides) under Erythranthe guttata (spotted monkey flower). RNAcentral's name for it is "long non-coding RNA (EGUT_LNC000974)". Lineage: Eukaryota; Viridiplantae; Streptophyta; Magnoliopsida; Lamiales; Phrymaceae. The record is from RNAcentral.